ACACGCAUGACACACUGCAUAUCAAUAAGCGGAGGAAAAGAAACUAACAAGGAUUCCCUUAGUAACGGCGAGUGAAGCGGGAAGAGCUCAAAUUUGAAAUCUUCAAGGUUCUACCUUGACGAAUUGUAGUUUAUAGAAGUGGUUUCUGUUAGUGGAGUGGCAAAAGUUCUUUGGAAUAGGACAUCAUAGAGGGUGAGAAUCCCGUAUUUGGUCAUUCCUCCUAGCGUUGUGAUACACUUUCAACGAGUCGGAUUGUUUGGGAAUGCAGUCCAAAAUGGGUGGUAAAUUUCAUCUAAAGCUAAAUAUUGGCGAGAGACCGAUAGCGAACAAGUACCGUGGGGGAAAGAUGAAAAGAACUUUGAAAAGAGAGUUAAACAGUACGUGAAAUUGUCAAAAGGGAAGCGUUUGACACCAGUGUUGUUUUUCCGAAAAUCAAUUACGAAUGUUUUGUUUUUGAGGAGUUAUGACUUCAUCGGCUUGCUCCUUUCUUUAUGAAACUUUCUUAAUGCACUUUUCGGUUAACAAGUCAGCAUCAAUUUCUUUUGUUGUAAAAGGGUAUGAGGAAGGUGGCUUUCUUUUCGGAGAAAGUGUUUAUAGCCUUGUGCCUCUGCAAUCGGAGAGAUUGAGGUCUGCAGCGUAGAUCCUUCGGGGUUAGAUACGUUUGUGCUAAGUUAUAGCUUUUCAUAGACAACUUGUUGACUAUGUUUAGUCUUGUAGCUUACUCGCAGACGCUAUUUUACCUACGCUUAGGAUGUUGAAGACUCUACAGAGAUA
This 774-nucleotide ribosomal RNA is filed under the name uncultured Neocallimastigales. Its description in RNAcentral is "partial large subunit ribosomal RNA". It matches the Rfam family "Eukaryotic large subunit ribosomal RNA", at positions 23 to 634 of the family's 3401-position model. The record is from RNAcentral. Lineage: Eukaryota; Fungi; Neocallimastigomycota; Neocallimastigomycetes; Neocallimastigales.